GAUGAACGCUGGCGGCGUGCCUAAUACAUGCAAGUCGAGCGAACAGACGAGGAGCUUGCUCCUCUGACGUUAGCGGCGGACGGGUGAGUAACACGUGGAUAACCUACCUAUAAGACUGGGAUAACUUCGGGAAACCGGAGCUAAUACCGGAUAAUAUAUUGAACCGCAUGGUUCAAUAGUGAAAGACGGUUUUGCUGUCACUUAUAGAUGGAUCCGCGCCGCAUUAGCUAGUUGGUAAGGUAACGGCUUACCAAGGCAACGAUGCGUAGCCGACCUGAGAGGGUGAUCGGCCACACUGGAACUGAGCCACGGUCCAGACUCCUACGGGAGGCAGCAGUAGGGAAUCUUCCGCAAUGGGCGAAAGCCUGACGGAGCAACGCCGCGUGAGUGAUGAAGGUCUUCGGAUCGAAAAACUCUGUUAUUAGGGAAGAACAAAUGUGUAAGUAACUAUGCACGUCUUGACGGUACCUAAUCAGAAAGCCACGGCUAACUACGUG
This 497-nucleotide ribosomal RNA is filed under the name uncultured bacterium. Its description in RNAcentral is "partial 16S ribosomal RNA". It matches the Rfam family "Bacterial small subunit ribosomal RNA", at positions 28 to 507 of the family's 1533-position model. The record is from RNAcentral.